This 702-nucleotide ribosomal RNA is filed under the name Typhlonesticus morisii. RNAcentral describes it as "partial large subunit ribosomal RNA". The stretch from base 477 to 702 matches the Rfam family "Eukaryotic large subunit ribosomal RNA", at positions 665 to 858 of the family's 3401-position model. Lineage: Eukaryota; Metazoa; Arthropoda; Arachnida; Araneae; Nesticidae. The record is from RNAcentral.
GGGACAUUCAGUCGGGAGGCGGCGGACGCGCGUUGCGGAGUGACCAGAAUGGUUCCCUGGACUUGGGGCCGUCCGCGACGUGCGCUUUCGUUCCACCCGACGCAUUUGUCGCCCCGUCCGAUGGACGCCGCGACCGGUUGGACUGACGGCCUGAAGGGCGGACGAUGGCAGGUGGCCGGUGGACGCGGGUUAGUCCCGUGCUUCCCCUGUCCGCCGGCUGUUAGCCGGUUUCCGUCGCACGGCGCGUGGUCCGACCGUGGUGUCGCGAGACCCCUCGUGGGACUCUUCGCCUCCCUCCUCUGCAGGAUGCCCGGAAUUGGCGGCACGGGUUUUUCUCCCCACCUGCGGGCGCACGGAACGACUCCGUGGCCCAGCUAUGCGGGAGUCCCGGUCGGUGGCCGCCUUUUACCGGUUGGAGUGUUGUGCGGUAAGCGGCGAGUAGAUCGGUCACCCACCCGUCCCGUCUUGAAACACGGACCAAGGAGUCUAACAUGUGUGCGAGUCAAUGGGGCUUGUGCAGGCCCAGGGGCGCAAUGAAAGCGAAGAAGAGCCGCAAGGCUGUGUUGCGAUCCUCCCGGCUCUGUGCGCGGGAGGCGCACCAACGGCCCGUCCCAUCCGCAACCGUCGGAGGGGCGGAGUCCGAGCAUACACGUUGGGACCCGAAAGGUGGUGAACUAUGCCCGGGCAGGACGAAGCCAGAGG